GCUCCCUUCGUCUAGCGGUCAGGACGCUGGCCUCUCACGCCGGAAACAGGGGUUCGAUUCCCCUAGGGAGCGCCA
RNAcentral lists this transfer RNA (75 nucleotides) under Gammaproteobacteria bacterium. RNAcentral describes it as "tRNA-Glu". It matches the Rfam family "tRNA". From Rfam's summary of the family: Transfer RNA (tRNA) molecules are approximately 80 nucleotides in length. Their secondary structure includes four short double-helical elements and three loops (D, anti-codon, and T loops). Further hydrogen bonds mediate the characteristic L-shaped molecular structure. tRNAs have two regions of fundamental functional importance: the anti-codon, which is responsible for specific mRNA codon recognition, and the 3' end, to which the tRNAs corresponding amino acid is attached (by aminoacyl-tRNA synthetases). tRNAs cope with the degeneracy of the genetic code in two manners: having more than one tRNA (with a specific anti-codon) for a particular amino acid; and 'wobble' base-pairing, i.e. permitting non-standard base-pairing at the 3rd anti-codon position. RNAcentral also lists the same sequence under 5 other names. Lineage: Bacteria; Pseudomonadati; Pseudomonadota; Gammaproteobacteria. The record is from RNAcentral.